RNAcentral lists this ribosomal RNA (662 nucleotides) under uncultured Pseudomonadota bacterium. Its description in RNAcentral is "bacterial SSU rRNA". It matches the Rfam family "Bacterial small subunit ribosomal RNA", at positions 57 to 707 of the family's 1533-position model. Lineage: Bacteria; Pseudomonadati; Pseudomonadota. The record is from RNAcentral.
GCAAGUCGAACGGGUAACAGGAAGCAGCUUGCUGCUUCGCUGACGAGUGGCGGACGGGUGAGUAAUGUCUGGGAAGCUGCCUGAUGGAGGGGGAUAACUACUGGAAACGGUAGCUAAUACCGCAUAAUGUCGCAAGACCAAAGAGGGGGACCUUCGGGCCUCUUGCCAUCGGAUGUGCCCAGAUGGGAUUAGCUUGUUGGUGGGGUAACGGCUCACCAAGGCGACGAUCCCUAGCUGGUCUGAGAGGAUGACCAGCCACACUGGAACUGAGACACGGUCCAGACUCCUACGGGAGGCAGCAGUGGGGAAUAUUGCACAAUGGGCGCAAGCCUGAUGCAGCCAUGCCGCGUGUAUGAAGAAGGCCUUCGGGUUGUAAAGUACUUUCAGCGGGGAGGAAGGGAGUAAAGUUAAUACCUUUGCUCAUUGACGUUACCCGCAGAAGAAGCACCGGCUAACUCCGUGCCAGCAGCCGCGGUAAUACGGAGGGUGCAAGCGUUAAUCGGAAUUACUGGGCGUAAAGCGCACGCAGGCGGUUUGUUAAGUCAGAUGUGAAAUCCCCGGGCUCAACCUGGGAACUGCAUCUGAUACUGGCAAGCUUGAGUCUCGUAGAGGGGGGUAGAAUUCCAGGUGUAGCGGUGAAAUGCGUAGAGAUCUGGAGGAAU